This is an RNA transcript of Mastomys coucha (southern multimammate mouse), 9240 nucleotides long. It is a transcript of the gene named kinesin family member 21B, with no coding region annotated. NCBI's taxonomy places the organism in Eukaryota, Metazoa, Chordata, Mammalia, Rodentia, Muridae. The transcript has 36 exons. The record is from RefSeq and is a predicted model, not a curated record.
CCCCUUUGUUCGCGCUGCGGCGGGAGGUGGCGGUCCGGGUGGGAGGUGUGUGCGCGCGCGUGUGCCGCGCUGUAGGGAGCUGCGGGUCUCACUGCCCGCUGUCAACGAGCUCAGCACCUCCGCGCGAUGGCUGGAGGAGACGUGUGGGACCAGCCCCGUGGGGCCGGCCGCGGGUGAGUCCCUCUGCCGCCUCCUGCGAGCAUGUCACCUCCAGCCUGCGAGGUCGCUUUCGCUAGCAGUGUCCGUGCCUCCGCCUUCUGCAGCCGCAGCCGCUGCCUGGAGCAGUGGCCCCCGGACCCCCGCCCCUGAUCCGCGCCCAGACCCUGGUGCCAGAGGACCAUGGCUGGCCAGGGCGACUGCUGCGUUAAAGUGGCCGUCAGGAUCCGGCCCCAGCUAUCGAAGGAGAAGAUUGAAGGCUGUCACAUCUGUACCUCUGUUACCCCUGGGGAGCCCCAGGUCCUGCUGGGGAAGGACAAGGCCUUCACCUACGACUUUGUCUUUGAUCUGGAUACCUGGCAGGAGCAAAUCUAUUCGACCUGUGUGAGCAAACUCAUCGAAGGCUGCUUUGAGGGCUACAAUGCCACAGUACUGGCCUAUGGACAGACGGGGGCUGGGAAGACAUACACGAUGGGCACCGGCUUCGACACAGUGACGUCAGAAGAGGAGCAGGGCAUCAUCCCAAGGGCCAUUGCACAUCUCUUCCGGGGCAUCGAUGAACGCAAGCGGCGGGCACAGGAGCAGGGUGUGACUGGGCCUGAAUUCAAAGUCAGUGCCCAGUUCCUGGAGCUCUACAACGAAGAGAUCCUUGACCUGUUUGAUAGCACCCGUGACCCCGAUGCCCGCCACCGCAGGUCCAACAUCAAGAUCCAUGAGGAUGCCAAUGGUGGCAUCUAUACCACAGGUGUCACUUCUCGCCUGAUCAACUCUCAGGAGGAGCUGAUCCAGUGCCUGAAGCAGGGUGCCCUGUCACGCACCACAGCCAGCACCCAGAUGAAUGUACAGAGCUCCCGAUCCCAUGCCAUCUUCACCAUCCAUCUGUGCCAGAUGCGCGUGUGUGCCCAGCCUGACCUGGUGAAUGAGACGGUGACUGGACUUCCGGAUGGAGCGGCCCCCACAGGCACUGAGUAUGAGACACUCACUGCUAAGUUUCACUUCGUGGACUUGGCUGGCUCAGAGCGGCUGAAGCGGACAGGGGCCACCGGUGAACGGGCCAAAGAGGGCAUCUCCAUCAACUGUGGUCUGCUGUCCUUGGGGAAUGUGAUCAGCGCCUUAGGGGACCAGAGCAAGAAGGUCGUGCAUGUGCCUUACAGGGACUCCAAGCUCACUCGGCUGCUCCAGGACUCCCUUGGAGGCAACAGCCAGACCAUCAUGAUCGCCUGUGUGAGCCCCUCGGAUCGGGACUUCAUGGAGACGCUUAACACACUCAAAUAUGCCAAUCGGGCUCGAAACAUCAAAAACAAGGUGGUAGUGAACCAGGACAAGACCAGCCAGCAGAUCAGUGCUCUCCGAGCCGAGAUCGCACGCCUGCAGAUGGAGUUGAUGGAAUACAAAGCGGGCAAGCGAGUGAUUGGGGAGGAUGGUGCGGAGGGCUACAGCGACCUGUUUCGGGAGAAUGCCAUGCUACAGAAGGAGAAUGGGGCACUGCGGCUCCGAGUGAAGGCCAUGCAGGAAGCCAUUGAUGCCAUCAACAACCGGGUCACACAACUCAUGAGUCAGGAGGCUAACCUGCUUCUGGCCAAGGCUGGUGAUGGCAAUGAGGCCAUCGGGGCUCUGAUCCAGAACUACAUCCGGGAGAUUGAAGAGCUGCGAACAAAGCUCCUGGAGAGUGAGGCUAUGAAUGAGUCCCUCCGCAGAAGCCUCUCCCGGGCUUCCGCUCGGAAUCCCUACUCCUUGGGAGCAUCUCCAGCAGGUCCAGCCUUUGCAAGCAGCCCGGCCAGCUCCAUGGAGGAUGCUUCUGAAGUGAUCCGCAGGGCCAAGCAAGACCUGGAGCGGCUGAAAAAGAAAGAGGUCAGGCAGCGGAGGAAGAGCAGCCCGGAGAAAGAAGCCUUCAAAAAGAGGGCAAAACUCCAGGCAGAAAACAGUGAGGAGACGGAUGAGAACGAGGCUGAGGAGGAAGAGGAAGAUCGAGAUGAAAGUGGCUGUGAGGAGGAGGAAGGGCGUGAGGAUGAGGAUGAAGACUCGGGCAGUGAAGAGAGCCUGGUAGACUCAGACUCCGACCCUGAAGAAAAGGAAGUAAACUUCCAGGCAGACCUGGCGGACCUGACGUGUGAGAUCGAGAUCAAGCAGAAGCUGAUCGACGAGCUGGAGAACAGCCAGCGGCGGCUGCAGACGCUCAAGCACCAGUACGAGGAGAAGCUCAUUCUGUUGCAGAACAAGAUCCGAGAUACACAGCUGGAGCGCGACCGCGUGCUGCAGAACCUCAGCACUAUGGAGUGCUACACAGAGGAGAAGGCCAACAAGAUAAAGGCGGAUUAUGAGAAGAGGCUGCGGGAGAUGAACCGGGACCUGCAGAAGCUACAGGCUGCUCAAAAAGAGCAUGCUAGGCUACUCAAGAACCAGUCUCGCUACGAAAGGGAGCUGAAGAAGCUGCAAGCGGAGGUAGCCGAGAUGAAGAAAGCCAAGGUCGCCCUCAUGAAGCAAAUGCGUGAGGAGCAGCAGCGGCGGCGACUGGUGGAGACCAAGAGGAACCGGGAGAUUGCUCAGCUCAAGAAGGAGCAACGGAGGCAGGAGUUUCAGAUACGGGCCCUGGAAUCUCAGAAGCGCCAGCAGGAAAUAGUUCUGAGGAGGAAAACCCAGGAGGUUUCUGCACUGAGGCGCUUGGCCAAACCCAUGUCUGAGCGAGUGGCCGGGCGUGUAGGAUUAAAGCCCCCCAAUAUGGAUUCUGGGGCCGAGGUGUCCGCCAGCACCACCUCAUCUGAGGCUGAGUCGGGAGCUCGCUCUGUCUCCAGUAUAGUGCGUCAGUGGAACCGAAAAAUCAACCACUUCCUAGGGGACCACCCUACAGCCACUGUCAACGGCAGCCGCCCAGCCAGGAAAAAGUUCCAAAAGAAGGGAGCCAGCCAAAGCUUCAGUAAGGCUGCAAGACUCAAAUGGCAGUCCCUGGAGCGGAGGAUCAUUGACAUUGUCAUGCAGAGAAUGACCAUUGUCAACCUGGAGGCUGAUAUGGAGCGGCUCAUAAAGAAAAGGGAGGAGCUCUUCCUCCUACAGGAGGCACUGCGGAGGAAGCGGGAGCGCCUGCAGGCUGAGAGCCCCGAGGAGGAGAAGGGGCUACAGGAGCUGGCAGAGGAGAUAGAGGUGUUGGCAGCCAAUAUUGACUACAUCAAUGACAGCAUCACUGACUGCCAAGCCACCAUUGUGCAGCUGGAAGAAACCAAGGAGGAGCUGGACUCCACAGACACAUCAGUGGUCAUUAGCUCCUGCUCUCUGGCUGAAGCCCGCCUACUGCUAGACAACUUCCUCAAGGCGUCCAUUGACAAGGGACUUCAAGUAGCCCAGAAGGAGGCCCAGAUCCGGCUGCUAGAAGGACGCCUCAGACAGACAGACAUGACAGGCUCUUCCCAGAACCACCUGCUCCUAGAUGCUUUGCGUGAGAAGGCCGAGGCGCACCCUGAGCUGCAGGCCCUCAUCUACAAUGUCCAACACGAGAAUGGCUAUGCAAGCACAGAUGAGGAAGUUUCAGAGUUCUCUGAGGGGAGUUUUUCCCAGUCAUUCACCAUGAAAGGCUCCACCAGCCAUGACGACUUCAAGUUCAAGGGUGAACCCAAGCUGUCUGCACAGAUGAAGGCCGUGUCUGCAGAGUGCCUAGGACCCCCGUUGGACAGCUCCACCAAAAACAUUACCAAGUCCCUGGCUUCCCUCGUUGAGAUCAAAGAGGACGGGGUGGGCUUCUCUAUCCGGGACCCCUACUACCGGGACAAGGUCUCACGCACUGUCAGCCUGCCCACCCGGGGCAGCACUUUCCCUCGGCAGUCUCGAGGUGCCACGGACACGUCCCCUCUGACCCGAAGGAAGUCUUAUGACCGAGGACAGCCCAUCAGAUCCACAGACAUGGGAUUCACACCUCCCUCAUCGCCUCCCACUCGGCCCCGCAACGACCGCAACGUCUUCUCUCGUCUUACCAGCAAUCAGAGCCAGGGCUCAGCACUGGACAAGUCUGAUGACAGCGACUCCUCUUUGUCGGAGGUCCUGAGGGGCAUCAUCACCCCCAUUGGCGGAGCAAAGGGAGCUCGGACGGCCCCGCUGCAGUGCGUCUCCAUGGCCGAGGGCCAUACCAAGCCCAUCCUCUGCCUGGAUGCCACCGAUGAGUUGCUUUUCACUGGAUCCAAAGACCGGAGCUGCAAGAUGUGGAACCUGGUGACGGGGCAGGAGAUCGCAGCUCUCAAGGGCCACCCCAACAAUGUGGUUUCUAUCAAAUACUGCAGCCACUCGGGGCUGGUGUUCUCUGUGUCCAGCUCCUACAUCAAGGUGUGGGACAUCCGGGACUCAGCCAAGUGCAUUCGGACGCUCACGUCCUCAGGCCAGGUGAUCUCAGGAGAUGCCUGCAUAGCCACAUCCACCCGUGCCAUCACCAGCGCCCAGGGGGAGCAUCAGAUCAACCAGAUGGCCCUCAGCCCCUCAGGCACCAUGCUAUACGUUGCCUCUGGCAAUGCCGUCCGCAUCUGGGAGCUCAACAGGUUCCAGCCCAUUGGCAAACUGACUGGCCACAUUGGCCCAGUGAUGUGCUUGACAGUCACCCAGACUUCAAACCACCAUGACCUCGUGGUGACGGGCUCCAAGGACCACUACGUGAAGAUGUUCCAGCUGGGUGACUAUGUGACCGGUACUAUUGGCCCAACCCACAACUUUGAGCCGCCUCACUAUGAUGGUAUCGAAUGCCUGGCUAUCCAAGGAGACAUACUGUUCAGUGGCUCCAGAGACAAUGGCAUCAAGAAGUGGGACCUGGAACAGCAGGAGCUCAUUCAGCAAAUCCCCAAUGCUCACAAGGACUGGGUGUGUGCCCUGGCCUUUGUACCCGGCCGGCCCAUGCUGCUGAGCGCCUGCCGGGCGGGCUUCAUCAAGGUCUGGAAUGUGGACAACUUCACACCCAUUGGUGAGAUCAAGGGCCAUGACAGCCCCAUCAAUGCCAUCUGCACCAACAGCAAGCACAUCUUCACGGCCUCCAGUGACUGCCGGGUAAAGCUGUGGAAUUACGUCCCUGGACUCACCCCCUGCCUUCCUCGACGAGUCCUGGCCAUAAAGGGCCGCGCCACCACCCUGCCCUGACCCUCCCCCUUCCUCUCUCACUCUUCCCCUCUUGCCUUCUCCUGUCUUUCCCCCACCUCGAUCUGAGCUGCUUCUUCACGUGACCUGACGGUGAAGUUCUGGAGCAUGCGCCGGCUACCAGCAGCCCAUCCUUGAAGUUAGGACGAAAGGUGGCCAGACCAUCAGACCCAGCAUGGAAAGGAAGCUGUGGCCGGAUCUUACCAGACCAGCCAGGUUCACUGAGGACAGAGGGUGUGGCUCUUCUCUCGCUCUACUUCCUCCACCACCCCCUCUGUCCCUCCCCUGCCUCCUAAGAAAGAAGAGGCCGAGGAGGGAAGACAAGCUGUGAAGCCAAAGGGCAUGAUUUCCCUACCUGUUCCCUGCCUGCCUCUCAACUGGCCACACUGUCUCCUGCUGAGCCAGCCCUGCCCCUCUCUCGGGUCCUCAGCCUCCGGUGAGACUGAGGGAGAAGCCCGGAGAAGCUCCCAUCUAUCUUCCAGCGAGCUAGCUUCCCUAGCCCCACCUCCGGGAGCCGCUGCACCUGCCGCUGAGCCCACCAAGGUAGUUCUCAGGUAACCAUGGAAACCAGAUGUAAGCAGCCGAAUCCUGCCGCUGACCCUAAACCCUACAGCCGCCCCCAGCCGAUCUCAGUGGGGCCUAGUCAUUCCUCGAGGGAGGCUCUCUUCUGCUGGGGCCUCAGUGGAGCUGUGUAAACACUUCCUUUGGGGAGAAGGUCAGCAGUACCACAGUCAUUAAGGAUAUUGAUUUUUAGUUUUGUGUUCUGCUGUUUGCCUCCUGGAAACUGACUUGAAGUUUCUUCCCAUUCUUCCCUCCGCUCCCGGUGGGGGGGUCUUCUCUCUGGCGCUCCACUCCUCCAUCCUUUGCAGCUCUGACCAUUGUCCCAGUCCUGCCCAUCCCGGCAUACCUUCUAGGAUAGACCAGGUCUCUAGGCCACCGGAUGCCGCAGUGCCUUUCUCCAUCCUGAGGCCCGGCAUCAUGCUGGGCAGCCUUACGCUAGCCAUGCCCGCAGCCCACAUGUGUCUUCUGCUCCUGGGCCUUGUGCCCACAGCCCCUGAAGGUCAGAGCGUCCACCUCAACAGCCCAGGACCAGGGAACCCAUGCUCCCAAGAGUCCUGUGUGGUCCAGUGGGACUGUCCACUAGGUAGGCUUGGGUAGUCAGGGUACUAGGUCCUUUGCCUAACCGCACCCCCCCCCCUCCAGCCAAUUAUAUUUUCACCUCCAAGGGGACAGGGGGCAUCUUCAGCUUCUUUUCCUUUAGUUGUUCCAGAAACAGCCUUAAAACCUGCCUGGGCCAAAGGUCCUCCCUUUUCAAUUAGCGUGAGGAGGCAGCCACUCCUUGCUUCUCCCCUUGGUGCAGUGGACUCAGCUGCUGAGAUGAGGUGAAGUCAGUGUCUAGCGCCCCCUACUGGAACAACUCUGAAUUUAUAGGACUGGGCCAUGAGAGGGGCCAGCUCCAUUCCUUACCCCCAGCCCCCCAGCUUCCCCUGCCCUAAAACUGGUCCACACUUAUUCUAUUGCUUCACUGGUCUUGUGCAUCCUGGUCUCAUUCUGGGAUCCAUGAACCCCAGCUCCCUUCGGAGGACAUGGUGACUUGUGGACUUUGGAGAGCUAGCGCAGAGCCUCUGCGCUUAGCUCUUCUCCCCCUAGGGCGGGUACGUUGGUGGCUGUCCAUGAGGCCCUAGGAUGGGAGAGUUAGGAACUGAGAAGGCCAGACCCUCUCUGAACCAUCCCAGAGCUGUGUCUGAGGCUGAUACCAAGGAGACUGUCCCGCUUAUUGAUGGCUCCAGACAGACAGCAGUGUUAAGUCUGGGUAAGUGGAUGUUUAGAACAAUGCACCAGGAAAGCAGGUCAUCAGGAACCUGGACCGUCUGUCUGCAAUGACCAGAAAUCCUCCUUCCUCUGCUCACCCUGGGAGUGUUAAGGAAUGUCCUUAGCACUCAGAAGUGACCACAUCUUCUCUUUCAUCCCUCUUCACCUGAAUGGAAAGCCCGGACCUUAUACCUUGUAAGAAAACCCAGAACCCAUCUGCAUGACUGUUUACAAACUACAGAAACACGUGAGACUUAUGUCCCGACCCCACAGGCUGGGCUGUCCCAGCCCGGGGUACCCGUACUGUAUAGCUGCAAGGCCAGUUCUUGCACAAAGUGUGUGUGGUCUUACAGCCCCCGCGAGAGGUGCUCACCGGCAUUGCCCCUUCUGCCAUUUCUGAUGGGUCACUACCUCAUGGCGGGGCUGCUAUGCUGUCCCAGCGAGUGUCAUUGACUAAACUUGAAAUUGGAGCUCUGAGCUCAUCACCCCGAGCCAUUCUGAGCUGUGUCCUGGGAAUGUUGGCAUCCCUUGCCCACCAACCCUUUCGGGGAUGUCCAAGGUACACAGUGAGGGGCGGGCCCCCAGCGCCACUCAUUGCACAAACAUCCUUGUCGGAAGCACAAACUGGUUGUGAUUUGAGCACAAUAGCAGGUCUCUGGGUAGACAGUAUGAGCAAACUUGGGCGCCUAGGAGGUCUCUUUCCCAGAUGGGCUGCGUCUUAGAUUAGACCAGGCUUGCCUGUGUCUGAGGCUGACUCACCACCACAUACUCUGGGAAUUAUUAAUCUACUCCUUGUGCCCAUCUUGGGACUUGAGGCCCAAGCCACAGCUGUGGGGGUCCUCCCUAGAUCCCCACAUCCCAAGCCUUUAACAACUAGAGUAUAGCUGGUACCCCACCAUACUGAGCCUGAAGAACCUGGACCCAGACUCCCAUCUCUUGAGCUAACCCCAACAUCCAUGCUUCUGAAAGUGAUCAGCUUCCAUCUGGAUGGAAAGUGUCUACUGUCCCCACUCUCUUAGGCCUUUUCUGUGCACAAUCCUGGGCCGGGACCCAUUCCAGUAUUAACCAAUUCAGUGUUUGGUCUUGUUGGAGAGACUUGAUUCUACAGCAGCCAGCUCAUGCAGAGGCUGCCUGGAGCAGCCUUUAGAGACUGCAGAAGAGAGAGAGUGAGAGAACGCAAAGAAUGAGAGGCUGACCCAGCGAAGCCCUUGAUGUGGUCAGAGUGCCACCACAGCUACUUGAAAAGGGGCAGCUAUGGAUCUGGGAGUAGGCUCCCACCGUGGCCCCAGCUGCAAGUUUGGGAUCGUCUUAGGCUGCGUGGCUUGGGCAAAGGGCAGUUUAAAGCACAAAGCCAUGUGGAGAAGAUGCUGCCUUGCUGGGGAAUUCUUGACCUACCCAUUGUGGUGGUGCAGGCAGGAAGCUGCUGCAAAGGCAACACAUUACAUCUCUGCCCUGCCCUCUCCCUGUUCUGGGAGGCCUCCCCUGGAGUCUGGGCUGGGUGAAGCAGGCACACCCCCUUGGCUGUACCUGGUAUGUUUGUGUGGGCAGGACCUGCCCUGCAGGAGCGGUGAAUUCCUUUCCACCAUGUGGCCCAAACCUGCCACAUCUGUCUCUUUGUCCUUACUAACAAGAAACUGCUGCUCCCUUUGCUGGCACAGUGGCCAGUGCCCCCCCUGAGACCAGCUGUCACCUGACUCCCAGCUCUUCACUGCUACUUGUGUGCAAGAGAAUCUGCAGGGAAAGUUUGGUUUCUUUGACAUCAUUGUUCUGUCCCGUGCCCACCCCACCCCCCAUCUCCAGCACCCAGCUGGCCUCCCCUUGACCCCUCUCGUCCACCUUCAAUCCUGUGUCCUAAAGGCUUUGUCAGAAAGUGGGAAGGACUGCUGAAAGUCAGAAAAGACCACUGAUGUCUUGCUGCCCUGCCCUGCCCCGCCCUGUCACCAGCUCCUAUGACUGUUACCCCUACCCAGGCUGCAGGGUCUCAUUUGGCUCAUGCGCUCUCCUGUGACAUAGUAGCACAAGGUGUGUAUAUGUUUUGUACCUCUGCUGACGACUGUACAUAGUGUAUGAAAGUUAUUUAAGCCUCAUGCUGUACAUUUCUGUUCUGGAAAUCGGAUGUGUGUGUUCUAAGAGCUUGUCAUAAAUAAAAAAAAAACAUUGUCCAUAGAA